AGAGUUUGAUCCUGGCUCAGAGCGAACGCUGGCGGCAGGCCUAACACAUGCAAGUCGAGCGGCCGUAGCAAUACGGCAGCGGCAGACGGGAGAGUAACACGUGGGAACGCGCCCUUCGGUUCGGAAUAACUCAGGGAAACUUGGGCUAAUACCGAAUACGCCCUUACGGGGAAAGAUUUAUUGCCGAAGGAACGGCCCGCGUCCGAUUAGCUAGUUGGUGAGGUAACGGCUCACCAAGGCGACGAUCGGUAGCUGGUCUGAGAGGAUGACCAGCCUCACUGGGACUGAGACACGGCCCAGACUCCUACGGGAGGCAGCAGUGGGGAAUAUUGGACAAUGGGCGCAAGCCUGAUCCAGCCAUGCCGCGUGGGUGAUGAAGGCCCUAGGGUUGUAAAGCCCUUUCAGCGGGGAAGAUAAUGACGGUACCCGCAGAAGAAGCCCCGGCUAACUUCGUGCCAGCCGCCGCGGUAAUAC
Molecule: ribosomal RNA, 474 nt
Filed under: uncultured bacterium
Lineage: Bacteria
Description: bacterial SSU rRNA
Rfam family: Bacterial small subunit ribosomal RNA
Source: RNAcentral